This 983-nucleotide long non-coding RNA is filed under the name Bemisia tabaci. RNAcentral describes it as "lncRNA ENSSWEETPG006339". Lineage: Eukaryota; Metazoa; Arthropoda; Insecta; Hemiptera; Aleyrodidae. The record is from RNAcentral.
AGAAAAGUAUUUAAAAAUAUAAUGAAUAGGUCACAUCUGAUUGGCUGAAACGCGUGGCGGGAAAUGUGCGAAGGCAGUGAAAAAGUUUCUUCAGAAUGCGAGUUGUGUGACGUCAUCAGCUUUGUGUUAUCUGGACCUAGAGAAAAUUAGGGGAAAAUUAGUAAAAUAUUUCAUAGAAUUUCAACUUUUCCCGCCUUUUAGUCAACGAGAUUUCCCCCAAUCGAGUACUGAUACAAAUUCCUGGUAGGCAGCCAAUCAGAGACAACUUCUUCCCUGUCGUCGUUUGUUUUCGUUUUGACUGACCUAACCUAAAAUUCUGGCGUUGAUUGAAAGUGUCUAGCCGACUCCGAGAAACGAAUAAAGAAGUUUUAAUUCUUGACUUUUAAUUUUUAAAACAUUCACACGCAGGACGCCACAAUGACAGAGGAAGUUCAAAAACACUCGGUCCAUACCUUAGUUUUUCGCUCUUUGAAGAGGACACAUGAUAUGUUCGUUUCCAAUCAAAGUAACCUUCCCCCUAUAGAUGAGCUAGCUGAAAGCAUCAAAAGAAAAUAAAAACACGAGACUGUUAUGGUGCUGUACGAGAAAUCGUUGAGAAAAAUAAAGCCCAAAAAAUGUUGCAGAGUGCCAAACAGUUAGAGCUGCAGGAAUCUGAGCGAGGUAAGGCUUUUUUUCCACUUUAAUUUUCCUUUUUUCUUUUAGGAGUGACGAUCCACCGAAAAAGAGACCUAUAAGCGUUGAAGCUUUUUCAGGAGAGUAACUUUGUUCCGGAUGUGGAGAAAAAACGUGUUUUGAGCUUUCAAUGAAAAAUGCUGUCUACUAUCAAUAAGAAUCAAUUGCAAAUAUUAUAUUUAUAUUCGACUCUACACUGUAGCAUAAAUCUUUAAAUAAUUUCUUUAAAACUAUGUUUUUUUGAACUGUAGGCUCCAAACUUUUUCGGUUAAUUUAAGUUCACAUUUACACUAAUUUAAACUUGUGCUUCC